AUAUUAGACUUGUUUUCCUAUGUCCAUGAGAAAUUUGAAACCAAUCGAACGGCGCAAAGAAGAGAAAUUGGCUCUGGAAGGUUGGCAACAAGAUUGGAGAAGGAGGCCGGCUAACACCCGAAUACAUUUUUGAGGUUUUCGUCAAUUUAGUAACUCCGAUCCUUUUCAAAAAAAAUUUUUCUUGUUUUGAACUUGAUUUUUAAGAAGUGUGCAAAUUUUGAAUUGAGAUCAACGGUUUAUUCAUUAGAUAUUGAGGUUUAAAUCUGUGAUAGGAAUUACUAGGAUUUGGAUUAGGGUUUGGCUAGAGUUCGGUUUAGGAUUUGGAUUAGGGUUUGGUUAGGAUUUGAUUUAGGAUUUGGAUUAGAGUUUGGACUAGGAUUUGGUUAGGGUUUGAUUUAAGAUUUGAUUUAGGGUUUAGGAUUUGGAUUAGAAUUUAGGAUUGGAUUAGGGUUUGGAUUAGGAUUUGGAUUAGGGUUUAGGGUUUGGUUAGGGUUUGAUUUAGGGUUUGGAUUAAGGUUUGGUUAGGAUUUGAUUUAAGGUUUGGUUUAGGGUUUAGGGUUGGAUUGGGGUUUGGUUUAGGGUUUGAUUUAGGGUUGGUUUAGGAUUUAUGGUUUGGAAUAGGAUUUAAUUUAAGAUUUGUUUAGGAUUUGACUUAGGGUUUAGGAAUUAUUAGGGUUUAAGAUUUAAUUAGGUUUGGUCUAAAGUUGAGUGAAAUUCAAUAGGGUUUAACUAGAAUUAAAUUAAGGUUGAAUUGACAUAUAUUUGAGUAAAAUUUGUGAUCAUUCUAAUAUUUCUUUAAGAAUUUUAUUGUUUGUUUGAAAUUUCUUUGAGUUGUUUUGAAUUUGAUUACGUUUGUUUACCA
This 862-nucleotide long non-coding RNA is filed under the name Physcomitrium patens. RNAcentral describes it as "long non-coding RNA (PPAT_LNC003898)". The record is from RNAcentral. Lineage: Eukaryota; Viridiplantae; Streptophyta; Bryopsida; Funariales; Funariaceae.